RNAcentral lists this ribosomal RNA (497 nucleotides) under uncultured bacterium. RNAcentral describes it as "partial 16S ribosomal RNA". It matches the Rfam family "Bacterial small subunit ribosomal RNA", at positions 28 to 507 of the family's 1533-position model. The record is from RNAcentral.
GAUGAACGCUGGCGGCGUGCCUAAUACAUGCAAGUCGAGCGAACGGACGAGAAGCUUGCUUCUCUGAUGUUAGCGGCGGACGGGUGAGUAACACGUGGAGAACCUACCUAUAAGACUGGGAUAACUUCGGGAAACCGUAGCUAAUACCGGAUAAUAUUUUGAACAGCAUGGUUCAAAAGUGAAAGACGGUCUGGCUGUCACUUAUAGAUGGAUCCGCGCUGCAUUAGCUAGGUGGUAAGGUAACGGCUUACCAAGGCAACGAUGCAUAGCCGACCUGAGAGGGUGAUCGGCCACACUGGAACUGAGACACGGUCCAGACUCCUACGGGAGGCAGCAGUAGGGAAUCUUCCGCAAUGGGCGCAAGCCUGACGGAGCAACGCCGCGUGAGUGAUGAAGGUCUUCGGAUCGUAAAACUCUGUUAUUAGGGAAGAACAUAUGUGUAAGUAACUGUGCACAUCUUGACGGUACCUAAUCAGAAAGCCACGGCUAACUACGUG